UACGUAGGGGCCUAGCGUUGUCCGGAUUUAUUGGGCGUAAAGAGCGUGUAGGCGGCCAGAUAGGUCUGCUGUGAAAACUCGAGGCUCAACCUCGAGAUGUCGGCGGAAACCAUUUGGCUAGAGUCCGGAAGAGGAAAGUGGAAUUCCUGGUGUAGCGGUGAAAUGCGCAGAUAUCAGGAAGAACACCCGUGGCGAAGGCGGCUUUCUGGGACGGUACUGACGCUGAGACGCGAAAGCGUGGGGAGCGAACAGG
This 253-nucleotide ribosomal RNA is filed under the name uncultured bacterium. Its description in RNAcentral is "partial 16S ribosomal RNA". It matches the Rfam family "Bacterial small subunit ribosomal RNA", at positions 524 to 776 of the family's 1533-position model. The record is from RNAcentral.